RNAcentral lists this ribosomal RNA (647 nucleotides) under uncultured bacterium. RNAcentral describes it as "bacterial SSU rRNA". It matches the Rfam family "Bacterial small subunit ribosomal RNA", at positions 202 to 849 of the family's 1533-position model. The record is from RNAcentral.
GAAAGAUUCAUCGGAAGAGGAUGGGCAUGCGGCGCAUUAGCUAGACGGCGGGGUAACGGCCCACCGUGGCGACGAUGCGUAGGGGUUCUGAGAGGAAGGUCCCCCACACUGGUACUGAGACACGGACCAGACUCCUACGGGAGGCAGCAGUGAGGAAUAUUGGUCAAUGGGAGAGAUCCUGAACCAGCCAAGCCGCGUGAGGGAAGACGGCCCUAUGGGUUGUAAACCUCUUUUGUCGGAGAACAAAACCCGGGACGAGUCCCGGACUGCGUGUAUCCGAAGAAAAAGCAUCGGCUAACUCCGUGCCAGCAGCCGCGGUAAUACGGAGGAUGCGAGCGUUAUCCGGAUUUAUUGGGUUUAAAGGGUGCGUAGGCGGUCCGUUAAGCCAGCGGUAAAAUUGCGGGGCUCAACCCCGUCGAGCCGUUGAAACUGGCAGACUUGAGUUGGCGAGAAGUACGCGGAAUGCGCGGUGUAGCGGUGAAAUGCAUAGAUAUCGCGCAGAACUCCGAUUGCGAAGGCAGCGUACCGGCGCCACACUGACGCUGAGGCACGAAAGCGUGGGGAUCGAACAGGAUUAGAUACCCUGGUAGUCCACGCAGUAAACGAUGAAUGCUGGUUGUCCGGGUCGAAUGAGAUCUGGGCGGCGA